CCCGCUGAACUUAAGCAUAUCAGUAAGCGGAGGAAAAGAAACUAACAAGGAUUCCCCUAGUAACUGCGAGUGAAGCGGGAAGUGCUCAAAUUUAAAAUCUGGCAAGGCUACUUGUCCGAAUUGUAAUCUAUAGGUGCUUUUUAGAAACGUGUAUUAGUGGUCCAAGUUCCUUGGAACAGGACAUCACAGAGGGUGAGAAUCCCGUCUGGAUCUCUGAUGCACUUUCGCUUGAAAGCUCCGACGAGUCAGGCUGUUUGGGAUUGCAGCUUAAAUUGGGUGGUAAAAAACAUCUAAAGCUAAAUAAUGGCAAGAGACCGAUAGCGAACAAGUACCGUGAGGGAAAGAUGAAAAGGACCUUGAAAAGGGGGUUAAAAAGAAUGUGAAAUUGUUAAAGGGGAAGCCUGUGUGUGUAGCCUUGGUUGGUGGUUGUUCGAGGCUGUUAGAUAAAGGUUUGAGGAAGGCGUUGAAAGGGGCAACUCUUUCAAUUUAUAGCCUCGAGCUGUGAUAGCACCUUGGACAAAUCGAGGUGAAAAAAUGGUUGAAAAAAGCAAUUUCUUCCGACCGUUCUUUCACUGCUCUCACCGACUUAAUGCACAUCCAGGACCCGUCUUGAAACACGG
RNAcentral lists this ribosomal RNA (620 nucleotides) under uncultured fungus. RNAcentral describes it as "eukaryotic LSU rRNA". It matches the Rfam family "Eukaryotic large subunit ribosomal RNA", at positions 24 to 664 of the family's 3401-position model. Lineage: Eukaryota; Fungi. The record is from RNAcentral.